Molecule: ribosomal RNA, 750 nt
Filed under: Escherichia coli
Lineage: Bacteria; Pseudomonadati; Pseudomonadota; Gammaproteobacteria; Enterobacterales; Enterobacteriaceae
Description: bacterial SSU rRNA
Rfam family: Bacterial small subunit ribosomal RNA
Source: RNAcentral
CCACGCCGUAAACGAUGUCGACUUGGAGGUUGUGCCCUUGAGGCGUGGCUUCCGGAGCUAACGCGUUAAGUCGACCGCCUGGGGAGUACGGCCGCAAGGUUAAAACUCAAAUGAAUUGACGGGGGCCCGCACAAGCGGUGGAGCAUGUGGUUUAAUUCGAUGCAACGCGAAGAACCUUACCUGGUCUUGACAUCCACGGAAGUUUUCAGAGAUGAGAAUGUGCCUUCGGGAACCGUGAGACAGGUGCUGCAUGGCUGUCGUCAGCUCGUGUUGUGAAAUGUUGGGUUAAGUCCCGCAACGAGCGCAACCCUUAUCCUUUGUUGCCAGCGGUCCGGCCGGGAACUCAAAGGAGACUGCCAGUGAUAAACUGGAGGAAGGUGGGGAUGACGUCAAGUCAUCAUGGCCCUUACGACCAGGGCUACACACGUGCUACAAUGGCGCAUACAAAGAGAAGCGACCUCGCGAGAGCAAGCGGACCUCAUAAAGUGCGUCGUAGUCCGGAUUGGAGUCUGCAACUCGACUCCAUGAAGUCGGAAUCGCUAGUAAUCGUGGAUCAGAAUGCCACGGUGAAUACGUUCCCGGGCCUUGUACACACCGCCCGUCACACCAUGGGAGUGGGUUGCAAAAGAAGUAGGUAGCUUAACCUUCGGGAGGGCGCUUACCACUUUGUGAUUCAUGACUGGGGUGAAGUCGUAACAAGGUAACCGUAGGGGAACCUGCGGUUGGAUCACCUCCUUACCUUAAAGAAGC